RNAcentral lists this transfer RNA (84 nucleotides) under Pseudobryopsis hainanensis. RNAcentral's name for it is "tRNA-Leu". It matches the Rfam family "tRNA". Rfam says of the family: Transfer RNA (tRNA) molecules are approximately 80 nucleotides in length. Their secondary structure includes four short double-helical elements and three loops (D, anti-codon, and T loops). The record is from RNAcentral. Lineage: Eukaryota; Viridiplantae; Chlorophyta; Ulvophyceae; Bryopsidales; Pseudobryopsidaceae.
UGCUCUUGUGGCGAAAUUGGUAAACGCACUGGUUUUAGGAACCAGCGUCAAACGACUUGUGGGUUCAAGUCCCACCGAGAGCAA